Molecule: non-coding RNA, 48 nt
Organism: Schistosoma mansoni
Lineage: Eukaryota; Metazoa; Platyhelminthes; Trematoda; Strigeidida; Schistosomatidae
Source: Rfam
AUCCAGCUGACGAGUCUUAAACAGGACGAAACGCGCGUCAAACUGGAU